AGGGCUCCGCCGCGGGGUGGAGGAGGGGACGCGCCCGCCAGGAUGGGGGCGGGAGGGACCGCCGGGAAGGAGCCCGGGGGACCCCUGGGAGCCGGGUCAACUCAGGUUUGCACAAGUCAACAAAAUACUGUGUAUUGGGAUGGACAAGACACUCCUGAAGAUGAUGACUAGGUGCUGUGGCAGGGAGAGGGCCUCCACCAGCAGACAUGUGGAAGAUGUUGAAGCAGACAACAGCUGGAAACCUUCAGAGAACAUUUUGGUUUAUAAAAUCACUCUCUGCUUUGCCAAGACCUUUCAUUCUCUAAGAGGUGACAAUCCCUUCUCAGGUUCUAUCAGACAGCAAGUGCUGGCCUGACAAGAACACAACUGUCCAGAAGACAACAAAAGGGAGAAAGGGUCCCAGUUUUCUUACUCAGCUCCCUGGAAUCCAAGAAGAUAACCUGAUUUAUUCUGAGUUCUCUAUAAAAACCCUCAUGUCUCUCUCCUCCUCUUACCUCACAUCCCCUCUCACUUCCUUAGGAGCCUCUCUCUGGCUCUUACUCACAAGAUCCCUGAGGCAGCACAGAGACUGUACAUAGCCACCAACUCCCAAGCCCUUUGCUUUCUCCAGAGAAACCACAGGAAACACUGCAUGGAAUAAAUCCCUCCAGUCACAAUUAUUCAGACAUUCUUAUAAGUACUGUUCUUUUAAAAAGCUGGAAAGUUGGGUUGAGGAGUUUGGGGCUAUUAUUAGCACCAAACACUAUAAAAAGGAAAUGCCACUGAUAAACUUGGGUAGCUAUAUUUUUAUAUGGGAUAAUUCAAGCUUCCUUCUUUGAGUUCCCAGUCAUAAGAAAUCCUUAAUAAAAAUACUACCUCAGGCCAUACCCUCAAACCCAGCUUAAACAUUGCUGAAAUCCACUGGGGCUAUUCCAGCCAGGACUGACUAGGAAACUAAGAUUGUGUUUUUAGCCUAUUUUUAUGGCUGCUCCCUUCUGAGUUGCUCAGGUCUGUCCUACCAAAGGAAAAUAAUCCACCAGCCCACAUACAAAUAUUUACUUGUAGUGACUAUGUGGAGGCAGCAUGGCAAAGGGGUUAGUAUGAAGGUCAGACUUAACCAAGCUUGGUCCCAUGAAGCAUCAGGCAAGUUACUCAACCCUUUUGAACUUUCCCUGCAAGAUGGGUUGCUGUCAACCCUAUGAGUUAAUGCCUGACAUCUAACACUUGGUAAAUUUUCAGUAAAUGUUAAUUCAUUAUUAUGUGUUCAGUCAUGUCUCUUACCCUAGGAACUGCAAAAAUGUGAUUUUACCUUUGGAAAUUCUACACUCUUUCUUGAUACACAAAGCAUACCAACAGAAUAAAAGAACAACAGAAAUAAUGAGAUCUUGUGUGGAUAAAGUUGCUUAAAAACGUACUUCAGAGACCCUGCUAGCCUCCCGCUUCCAGCUCUAUAGGAGAGCAAUUUGUCAAUGUGUGUCAAGAGCCUUUAAAAUAUGUUUGCCCUAAAGAAAACAAUUAAGCCUGUGAGCAAAAAUUUAUAGUGGAUAUUAUAGUAGCAAAAAACUGUUAGUCUAAGUGUCUAACAACGGAAUUUCCAUGAAUAUUUAGACAUUACAAUUGAACAUUUACUCAAACCACGUCAUAAAACAAUAUGUACACUAUGGGUCCAAUCAAAUGUAUGAACUGAAGCAUUGCUUUCAUUAAGAGUUUCUUGUGACCAGGAGCUCUAAAAAGAAAAUUUGAUUUACUCCCAUAUAAAAAUAUAGAUAUGUGGGUAAAUGUAUACAUACACGUAGGAAAGGUCUAUAGACCAUGGCUUGACACAGUAGUUUCAUGUGUGGGUGCUGCUUUUGAGUGGGUUUUUUGUUUUGUUUAUUUGUAUUUCUAUAGAGAUACAUUGCUUUUAUAUUAGGAAAAAAAGCCCUCAAAAUUUAGAGAAACAGUUCAAUGAAUCUAGGGAAAUAGAACAAAUACAACACAAUAGGUAAAUAAGCAGUGGCCUAUAUUUUGCUUGACGUUUCUAAGAAUUCUACGCCCUUUAUUUAGCUUUCCACAAAUAACACCGAUUCACUGUGUGACUGGGCAGAUUUUUCCCUCUCUGGCCUCAGUUUUCCAUAUGUAAAAUGCACAAGUUGGACUAGAUUGGGGAUGGCAAAUGAGUUUACCUUGAGUGUCAGCGCUGUAUCAUUGCUAGAGACUGCCUGGACCACCUCUGUGAUGAGAAUGAAUGUUUGAAAAUGGGCUAGAGCUCUGUGACUAACAAUGUGUGUCAUGGAUGUAAGCAUGUGGAAUGAUACAGGAGGACCAUGCAGUUCCUAUAUGUAGACUAGAUAACUUUAAGGUUUCUUGAAAUACUGUGAGCCUGGGGCAUCUUCCAGCAAAAAUAUUAAUCUGAAUUUGAAAAGUCACAGGGGUUGGGGGAACCUAAUUCCAUGUAGUCACUUUCCAUCUUAUUUUAUGGGACCCAAGACAUAAUUUGGGGUUUAUUGAAGAAGAAAAUAGUCAUGGCCUUUGUGUCUCCAUCAUAUUUGCCUCCAUCACCUCCCAACCCCAGAACAAGGAAUAAAUGUGCAGCUGUUGUUUCAUCUUCUUCAAUCUGAAAGAAUUUGAAAGCCACAGCUGUUAGAGGCAUAAACCUGACUCUAGAUCUGUUCUUGGUCCAUGUCUCAUGUUUCAUGGAAUUCUCUAAAAGCCACACCUCUGGGAGUCAAGUCAAGGAAGGCCACUUCUGUCAAUAACUACACUCCUAGGAUCAGAAGUGCUGAGUGCGCAUUCCAAGGGGACUUUCCUGUAUGAAGUAGUGCCUGUUCCUGUCCAGAUUCAGUGGAACCAAGCUCCUGAGAGGGGUGCUGAUGUUCCUAAGGUCAUAUGAUGAGUUCAACUACCACCCAGCUUUUCCCAUUUGCAAGCAGACAUGGAUAAUUGGGCAAACAUCAGCAUCUGGCUGCCAGCAGGUUGGCUAUUUGGAGGAGGGGCAGGCUAGAGGGCUUUACUGCGUCUCAAGUUAACCACACUCAUCUACCCUCGCUUCCACAGAGAACAGCAGGCUAUAUUCAGGGAUCUCGGCAACAGCUGUGCCUUCCAAACCAAGAUGCUGUUCAGAAAGAUGAUCCAAAUGUAGGCUAUGUGUUUCAGCAGGAGGUGGUGGGACUUUCCUGCUCAAAUGGCCCUUUGUGUGCUUCUAGGAGAUGGGGCAUUAACCUCACACGUGGCUAACCCAUGAUGGAUUACUUGGCAUUCUCAAUUUACAUUUGGCUGGUGGUCAGAACUGAACUGUCAAAAUGCCUGGGUAUCUGAAGCACACAGUGCCUGACUUGUUCAGACUUGUUUCUGAUGAAGUGGGUGGAUCCUGGGGCUUUUGCUCUAACCAGAUUUGAUAAGCUAAACAAGGCUGGACUGUUACAAAGGCUGGCUCCAGUGUUCCCCUCAGGGCAGCAGAAAUCAGUAUUCUGAAUCGGUGGCCUCUAUUAUCAACUUCAUUUAUAUUCAGCAUCUUUAUCUAUUUCUGGGUCUUCCCUGACAUUUACCCACUUGUUGCAAGUGUGGUUCUGCCCAAGACUGGGGUAUCACUAGAGUGAGAUGUACUUCCACUUACCCUUAAACCCAGCCAGCCUUUAUGCUGUGGCCUAGUUCGGAGUUAUCAAGAGAGCCUCUUAGAAAGUUUAACUCCUUGGAACCUUCUCAAAGGUCAUAUAUUUUAGUGCUGGCUCUGCAUUUACUUAUAGGAAUCUAGUCUAAAGAAAGGAAUUUGUUUUGGCCAAAAGGCUGUUGGAUCAGUGCUGGUAAUCACGAUACAUGUAAGAAACAACUUAAAUUCCAAUAGUAAGUGAUUGGUUAAGGAAAUUAUAGUCUAUCUAUAUGAGUCAACCAUUA
This is a long non-coding RNA of Lutra lutra (Eurasian river otter), 3852 nucleotides long. RefSeq lists it as uncharacterized. The record is from RefSeq and is a predicted model, not a curated record. The transcript is spliced from 3 exons. NCBI's taxonomy places the organism in Eukaryota, Metazoa, Chordata, Mammalia, Carnivora, Mustelidae.